RNAcentral lists this ribosomal RNA (224 nucleotides) under Klebsiella pneumoniae. Its description in RNAcentral is "partial 23S ribosomal RNA". It matches the Rfam family "Bacterial large subunit ribosomal RNA", at positions 1 to 232 of the family's 2925-position model. The record is from RNAcentral. Lineage: Bacteria; Pseudomonadati; Pseudomonadota; Gammaproteobacteria; Enterobacterales; Enterobacteriaceae.
CGACUAAGCGUACACGGUGAAUGCCCUGGCAGUCAGAGGCGAUGAAGGACGUGCUAAUCUGCGAAAAGCGUCGGUAAGGUGAUAUGAACCGUUACAGCCGGCGAUGUCCGAAUGGGGAAACCCAGUGCAAUUCGUUGCACUAUCGUUAACUGAAUACAUAGGUUAACGAGGCGAACCGGGGGAACUGAAACAUCUAAGUACCCCGAGGAAAAGAAAUCAACCGA